GAAUUUUUUUCAAGUACUGUUCCUGUAGUUGUUGAUCUCUUUUUUCUUUUCUGUUCUAGUGCUUCUAGUUUAACGGUAAUGGUUGGUGAUAGUUCAACUGCAAAACUGUCGUUUUCUGAGCUGGGUGAAGCUAGGGUUUUUGUGAUUGUGAGUGGCUUUUGAUUUUGUUUUGGUGGGAGAUUUUGGUUUGGCUUUGCUGGUUUUAUGUGAAAUUGGGGUGUGUUUGCUGGGUUUUGAUAACGUUUAUCUGGAUUCAACACUUGGUUGACUUUCAUUUCUAUGUUUUUCUCUUGAAGAUUAUGGCGGUUUCUGAUAUGGGUUUCGAAUUUUGUGACUUUUAGUGAAGUAGGGACUU
This 355-nucleotide unclassified non-coding RNA is filed under the name Hevea brasiliensis (rubber tree). The record is from RNAcentral. Lineage: Eukaryota; Viridiplantae; Streptophyta; Magnoliopsida; Malpighiales; Euphorbiaceae.